RNAcentral lists this unclassified non-coding RNA (379 nucleotides) under uncultured Alphaproteobacteria bacterium. Its description in RNAcentral is "contains 16S-23S intergenic spacer region". Lineage: Bacteria; Pseudomonadati; Pseudomonadota; Alphaproteobacteria. The record is from RNAcentral.
UCCGGCUUAUCACCGGCAGUCUCAUCUGAGUGCUCAACUAAAUGGUAGCAACAGACGACGAGGGUUGCGCUCGUUGCGGGACUUAACCCAACAUCUCACGACACGAGCUGACGACAGCCAUGCAGCACCUGUAUUCAGUCCAACUAAAUGAAGAAAUCCAUCUCUGGAAAUCCCAACUGAUAUGUCAAGGGUAGGUAAGGUUCUUCGCGUUGCUACGAAUUAAAGGACAUGUUCCACUGCUUGUGCGGGUCCCCGUCAAUUCCUUUGAGUUUUAACCUUGCGGCCGUACUUCCCAGGCGGUGUGCUUAAAACGUUAGCUCCGUCACCGAACAGCAAAGCUGCCCGACAACUAGCACACAUCGUUUACGGUGUGGACUAC